UAAGUUAGGCAGAAUUCUGGAAGACCGCCUGGAGAAGGGCGCUGUGGGCUUCCCGCGCACCCCGGCCCAGCCCCGCUUACCCACCUCCCGCCAUUCACGGGGCUCCCUCCUUUCCGGGCGUGGCCCAUGCGGAGCCCAGGGGACCGAGCGAGGAUGCUGCCAGGGCCAGCUUUGCGUACCGCUCACCCUUGCCUGUUAAAUCUAGGCCAGUACAAGACCGCAUUCAGAACUUAAACCCACACCAAGCAGAGAAGACCAGCAGGUGA
This 266-nucleotide long non-coding RNA is filed under the name Fukomys damarensis (Damara mole-rat). RNAcentral describes it as "lncRNA (ENSFDAG00000026572.1)". Lineage: Eukaryota; Metazoa; Chordata; Mammalia; Rodentia; Bathyergidae. The record is from RNAcentral.